RNAcentral lists this transfer RNA (63 nucleotides) under Lumbriculus variegatus. RNAcentral describes it as "tRNA-Met". Lineage: Eukaryota; Metazoa; Annelida; Clitellata; Lumbriculida; Lumbriculidae. The record is from RNAcentral.
AGUAAGAUAAGCUAUAUAAGCUAGUGGGUUCAUACCCCGAAAAAGAGUUAAUCUCUCUUACUA